This 308-nucleotide ribosomal RNA is filed under the name Draconarius sp. CL013. Its description in RNAcentral is "partial 12S ribosomal RNA". Lineage: Eukaryota; Metazoa; Arthropoda; Arachnida; Araneae; Agelenidae. The record is from RNAcentral.
AAACUAAUUUAACUUGGCGGCAUUUUAUUUAAUCAGAGGAAUUUGUCCUUUAAUCGAUAAUCCACGUUAAAUUUAACUUUAAUUAAUAAACUUAUAUACCUCCAUCUUAAGAACUAAUCUUAAUAUAUUACUCUAAAAAAUAAAUAAAAAGUUAGGUCAAGGUGUAAUUUAUAUUAAAGAACAAGAUGAAUUACACUACAUAUAAUUAUAAGAUUAUAUAUAAAUAUAUGUAUAUAAAUAAGAAUUUGAAAGUAAUAUUACAAUAAUAUUAUAGUAUGAUAUAAAAAAUAAAUGUGCACACAUCGCCC